UAUGGGCGCCGGUUCCAAUCCCAGCAGCCCCACUUCCCUUCCAGCUCCCUGCCUGUGGCCUGGGAAAGCAGAAGACGGCCCAAAGCCUUGGGACCCUGCACCCAUAUG
This is a long non-coding RNA of Ochotona curzoniae (black-lipped pika), 108 nucleotides long. RefSeq lists it as uncharacterized. The record is from RefSeq and is a predicted model, not a curated record. NCBI's taxonomy places the organism in Eukaryota, Metazoa, Chordata, Mammalia, Lagomorpha, Ochotonidae. The transcript has 3 exons.